GUGCUCGCUUCAGCAGCACAUAUACUAAAAUUGGAACGACAUAGAGAAAGAUUAGCAUGGCCUCUGCACAAGGAUGAGACGCAAAUUCAUGAAGCGUUCAGUAUUUUU
This is a small nuclear RNA of Nycticebus coucang (slow loris), 108 nucleotides long. The record is from RefSeq and is a predicted model, not a curated record. NCBI's taxonomy places the organism in Eukaryota, Metazoa, Chordata, Mammalia, Primates, Lorisidae.